This 87-nucleotide transfer RNA is filed under the name Chloroflexota bacterium. RNAcentral's name for it is "tRNA-Gln". The record is from RNAcentral. Lineage: Bacteria; Bacillati; Chloroflexota.
GGCUGAGUUCGAAGAUCGGCUGGCAAACCCGAUUCAUGUCGUUUGACUCUGGAUCAGGAGAUCGAAGGUUCGAAUCCUUCCUCGCCA